CCUACGGGUGGCUGCAGUGGGGAAUUUUUCGCAAUGGGCGCAAGCCUGACGACGCAACGCCGCGUGGGGGAUGACGGUCUUCGGAUUGUAAACCCCUGUCGAGCGGGACGAAUGGCCCGCGACCUAAUACGUCGUGGGAGUGACGGUACCGCUAAAGGAAGCCACGGCUAACUCUGUGCCAGCAGCCGCGGUAAUACAGAGGUGGCAAGCGUUGUUCGGAAUUACUGGGCGUAAAGGGCGCGUAGGCGGCCUUCUAAGUCAGACGUGAAAUCCCCCGGCUCAACCUGGGAACUGCGUCUGAUACUGGGAGGCUCGAGUGCGGGAGAGGGAUGUGGAAUUCCAGGUGUAGCGGUGAAAUGCGUAGAUAUCUGGAGGAACACCGGUGGCGAAGGCGGCAUCCUGGACCGACACUGACGCUGAGGCGCGAAAGCUAGGGUAGCAAACGGGAUUAGAUACCCGUGUAGUC
RNAcentral lists this ribosomal RNA (466 nucleotides) under uncultured Acidobacteriota bacterium. Its description in RNAcentral is "bacterial SSU rRNA". It matches the Rfam family "Bacterial small subunit ribosomal RNA", at positions 338 to 795 of the family's 1533-position model. The record is from RNAcentral. Lineage: Bacteria; Pseudomonadati; Acidobacteriota.